UUGAUAAAAAAAAGACAAUAAGAAUGCAAAAAUAAGUAAGGGGUGUGCAAAAAAUUGAGUGGAAAUAUACUGGGAAUCCUAAAUGCUAAAUCCUUGGAAACCUAAAUCUAUUAACCAAAUAUUGACAGUAAAAUAAUUAUAAGAAAAAAUAAACUAAAAGGAAAACAAAGAAAAGUAACGUGUGCAUCGGCCUUUUUUAAGUUAUUGAAACUUUUCUUUCCUUGUUACUAUAUGAAACGACUAUGUACUUAGUCUUUAC
RNAcentral lists this long non-coding RNA (259 nucleotides) under Lathyrus oleraceus (garden pea). Its description in RNAcentral is "Pisum sativum (pea) long non-coding RNA (PSAT_LNC018875)". The record is from RNAcentral. Lineage: Eukaryota; Viridiplantae; Streptophyta; Magnoliopsida; Fabales; Fabaceae.